GCGAAUGUGCAUCUUGCGAGAACACUGAGUCAGGUCAGGUAGAUUUGGCUUCUGUGGACGUGAUUGUGUGCGUCAGUGGCAAGGAAGAAUGUGCGAGUCUCGAGAGAAGAGAGAACCUCGCACAAAAUGCAUCCAAUGAUAUUACGGAGCUCGGGAACCGUGUGGUUCAGUGCUUUGUUUGUAAAGAUGCUGAUCCAUACUUGGCGACUGUUGAUUCCAUGAAAUGUCUGUCAUCGAAGUUCAAAUCAGUAACCAGGUCUCUUGCUGGAAGUAAAAUUUGUAAAGUCCAGCAGCCUUACGCCACGCGAGUGAUAAGAACUACAUGGUUUAUUUCGCGGCAUAUUGCGACAAAUUUAGUGCAUUUAGAAUGCAUAGUAUUUUGGCGCCACCUUUCUUCGUGGAGGCCUGAUGUAGGUAACAUAUGGAGAUGUGUUCCUUACCUGAUGCUUUUUGUGGACGUGGUAUUGGAGUCUGAUAGUUUUAUAGAAAUUCUACCCACUGCACAUGUGACAUACCGUUCCGGAGAUAUCAGUGCAAAGCGUCUUUCGUGGGAAAGAGAUUCGCUCUCCGGAUUUGACUCGAAGAAGUGUGCGGACCUCGGCCUUUCAUGCCCCUCUCCUAAUUUAGCAACUGCGAAGUUUGUACUGCAUGGAGCUCGCACGUCCUUGGAUGUUUCGAACUGGGAGCUGCUGUUGCAACAAGUCAGCCACUU
This 712-nucleotide long non-coding RNA is filed under the name Physcomitrium patens. RNAcentral's name for it is "long non-coding RNA (PPAT_LNC006978)". Lineage: Eukaryota; Viridiplantae; Streptophyta; Bryopsida; Funariales; Funariaceae. The record is from RNAcentral.